CUAACCAUGACUCUAGGAUUUGUGAACAAGAAAAUCAGCAGGAGUAUGAGAGUUCUAAAUUACAAUACUCAUAAAAGUUGCUGAAGUAACUUUGAACAAUUCACUAGGAAAAGAAGGAAUCAUAGGUUCUACUCAAAUGGUAAGAUUGACUGGAGGAUUCGUGAACAAGUUAAUCAAUAGAAGAGGGUGAUUUCUAUUCUAUAAUACUUAGAAAAGCUGGCUGAAAGACUUUGCACAAUUUACUAGCAAAAGUAGGCAUGAUGUGUUGUACUCAAACCGUAAGCACAACUGGAGGAUUCUUGACCAUCUAAAUCAACAGGAGAAGAUGAGUUCUAUUCUAUAAUACUCAGUAAAGCUGCCUGAAUGACUUUGUAUAAUUCACUAGGAAAAGUAGGCACAACAGGUUCUCCUCCUAUUGGAAGUAUGAGUGGAGGAUUUUUGAUGAAGGAAAUCAACAAGAGAAGGUGAGUUCUAUUCUGUAACACUCAGGAAAGCUACCUAAAU
Ahaetulla prasina is the source of this 504-nucleotide long non-coding RNA. RefSeq lists it as uncharacterized. The record is from RefSeq and is a predicted model, not a curated record. NCBI's taxonomy places the organism in Eukaryota, Metazoa, Chordata, Lepidosauria, Squamata, Colubridae. The transcript has 4 exons.